UCAGACUCACAAGUAUCAGGCGAUGUGAGACUCGGACCUAAUACCAACUGUGACGCCCCAACUUUUCAGGGGGUCACCUAUUCUUGGAUUACUCCCGUCCUAGCACACCUAACUCUCUUAACCUUUUGGGCCUUGCCAUCAUUUAAAAUAUUUAAGCCGGAUUAAGAGUUUUAAUUCUAUUAAAUUUUAUAUAUAGAACUAUUUGGGAUCUCACAGAUUUGAACUUGAAAAAUUUUCUAUCAUUAAAUGAUCGAUAUUUGUAAUUAAAUCAAAUAUUGAGUAAAUUUUUAUGAACACCUUGUAUGUGCAGAAACGCCUUACUUAGAAGCAAAACAACAAUCCAAACCUGGAUAAACAUUGAACAACUUUAACUAGGAAUAAUGUAAGGAGUAAAAUUUUCUAUUAAUUAGUUUCUAAAUAAUUAUAAAACGUUGGUAACUAAUAACUAAUUAAAUUAAUUAACAACACCAUGUGACUUAUUAAAUUAAUAUAUAAUUAAUUAAAUAAUCGAACAAUUAAUUUAUUAUUAUCUAUAAUCAAUUAGCUAAUUAAAUUAUAAACUAAUUUAAUAUGUUUAUUCAAAUAAUAAAUAAUAUUUAUAUUAAUUAAGUAAUUAAUAUUUUAACUUAUCUAAAUAAAUUAUUAACUAAGUAUUUGACUUUCAAAUAACUAAUUAAUUAGUUGACAUAUUUAAUUUAUUUUUUUUAACUAAUUAACUAAUUAAUAAUUAACAUGCCUCUCCAUCAUCUUAUACAAUAUUCCUUGUUAAUUAAUUAAUUAACUUGUUAAAUAUUACUCUAUUAAUGUUUUUAUGCUUAUUAUUUAAAUAAAAUAUUAUUAUUUUAAAUUUAUAAUUAAUCUUAUUCUUAUAAUUCCAAUCUAGCCAUCGUAACGCAAUAUUUCUAUUCCCUCUGAGUAACCCAAUUCUCAUCUAAAUACAAAAUUAUUCUAAACUCUACGAAUUUCACAUGUAAUACUUAUCUCACGAAUAAACAAAAAUAGUUUAAUUCUGAAUCAUGUGGACUCGGCCUAAUGGAUGGUGUAUGGGCCGGACUUUGGGCAUUGAAAUUAUAACUUUGGAUCCGAAAUGGAUUUAAAUAUUUAGGCUCAAAAAAAAUUUGGCCCUGUUUAGACUUGUCUAAGCAUGGGCUGACCCGACCUGAUUCGUAUUUAGUCAUAUAUAUAGCAUUGGAUGCUAUAAUAUAUUAUAAAUAGUAUAGUAUUAUUAAGAAUAUAUUAUAUAUGAGAAUAAAUUUUUAUAUAUAACUAAAUAUUAUACAGAAUUGAGCUCCUAUAUUUUUAAAAGUUUUGUUUGUGCUUAUAGAUUUUCGGUCCUUGGAUUAAGGAAUAUGUGGUUGGGAUGAUAGUGGUCCCCAGGGGUUGAGCGAGUGUAUGAAAAUGAUCAAAAGGGUAAAUCUAACGACGGAAAACUUAUAAACACCAAGUGCUUUGUGCUUUUACAAGCAUCAUAGCCAGACUCAUGUUAUAUAUAAUAUAUUAUAUUAUUAUUUAUUUAU
Molecule: long non-coding RNA, 1517 nt
Filed under: Ananas comosus (pineapple)
Lineage: Eukaryota; Viridiplantae; Streptophyta; Magnoliopsida; Poales; Bromeliaceae
Description: long non-coding RNA (ACOM_LNC039540)
Source: RNAcentral